Molecule: long non-coding RNA, 395 nt
Organism: Brassica oleracea var. oleracea
Lineage: Eukaryota; Viridiplantae; Streptophyta; Magnoliopsida; Brassicales; Brassicaceae
Exons: 2
Source: RefSeq, a predicted model, not a curated record
AAUUGACUAUUCCAAAUAAUAGUUAUCAAUGGGUGUCCUAAAGACCUUGAUGACAUUUCUUCUCCUUGUCAUAUUAGGAGUUUCGUUAUCCAACCAGAUUGUUUUUACCUCAGGUGCAGAGAUUGAAAAAUUUUCGUAUGAUCAUUGCUCCACUUUAUGCGUGGAUGGGAAAUACGGAUCGCAUUAUUGCUUUGAGGACUGUAUUGAAAAGGGAUUUAAUACUGGUGACUGUGCUUCUCCACAUCGUGAAGGCCCAUUUCGGUGUUGUUGUAGUAAUUAGUUUUUUUAAUAAAAGCAUUAUCGGGAGUAGUAUUUUAUAAUUUGGGGACUUAAAAGAUGAUGUCAUUAUGUUGGUUUGUAAUCAGUGUGGCUGAAUAUCGUCAUAUAUAAAAUAU